This 643-nucleotide ribosomal RNA is filed under the name Phlegmacium superbum. RNAcentral describes it as "eukaryotic LSU rRNA". It matches the Rfam family "Eukaryotic large subunit ribosomal RNA", at positions 1 to 625 of the family's 3401-position model. The record is from RNAcentral. Lineage: Eukaryota; Fungi; Basidiomycota; Agaricomycetes; Agaricales; Cortinariaceae.
GUGACCUCAAAUCAGGUAGGACUACCCGCUGAACUUAAGCAUAUCAAUAAGCGGAGGAAAAGAAACUAACAAGGAUUCCCCUAGUAACUGCGAGUGAAGCGGGAAAAGCUCAAAUUUAAAAUCUGUCAGUCUUUGAUUGUCCGAAUUGUAAUCUAGAGAAGUGUUAUCCGCGUUGGACCGUGUACAAGUCUCCUGGAAUGGAGCGUCAUAGAGGGUGAGAAUCCCGUCUUUGACACGGACUGCCAGGGCUCUGUGAUACACUCUCAAAGAGUCGAGUUGUUUGGGAAUGCAGCUCAAAAUGGGUGGUAAAUUCCAUCUAAAGCUAAAUAUUGGCGAGAGACCGAUAGCGAACAAGUACCGUGAGGGAAAGAUGAAAAGAACUUUGGAAAGAGAGUUAAACAGUACGUGAAAUUGCUGAAAGGGAAACGCUUGAAGUCAGUCGCGUUGUCCAGGGAUCAACCUUGCUUUUGCUUGGUGUAUUUUCUGGUUAACGGGUCAGCAUCAAUUUUGACUAUUGGAAAAAAGUCAAGGGAAUGUGGCAUCUUAGGAUGUGUUAUAGCCCUUGGUUACAUACAAUUGUUGGGAUUGAGGAACUCAGCACGCCGCAAGGCCGGGUAUCUAAUGACCACGUACGUGCUAGAUG